This is a long non-coding RNA of Brassica oleracea var. oleracea, 598 nucleotides long. RefSeq lists it as uncharacterized. The transcript is spliced from 3 exons. The record is from RefSeq and is a predicted model, not a curated record. Lineage: Eukaryota; Viridiplantae; Streptophyta; Magnoliopsida; Brassicales; Brassicaceae.
AAAAUUUUGGAGCCUGUAAAAGGGAUAUAGAACGCUCUCAAUCUCAUCGAUUCAGCAAAUUCAUUCCUAUUACUUCCCUACAAGCACAACCUGCAACAAUGGUGAUAUCCCAUAUCAUGCCCUCUGAUUUGAAGUCUGUUCGUUGCCCUCAAUCAGUGGUGAAGAAAUGAAGGGAACUCAUGGGGAUUCAUGUGUUCCAGCUUGAUGAAAAGGGGUUGUCCUUUUCAUAUUCCAUCGCCUAUGUCUUUCAAUUAUAUUCUGCUGAUUCUUAUACAUUUACCACUUUCGUCAUGUUUAUUCAUCUUGACAGUCAACGCCUCCAAGGUUCCAUCAUUGUGCAUCGGCUGAACACUUUCAAACAUCUAAGGGAGCUAAUUACGAGAUCAGUGGGUUUGAUGAUGUAAACAAAGCAACCACAGCAAAGCAAAUAUUCCAUUUGUAUGCAAUCCAGCUUGGUCUGAGAACGUAAAAAAGCUGUUUACCACGCACGGAUACUCCCAAAACCAAGCCAUAGCCUUGAAAUAACUCACCAUCUCCAAAGUCGCACAUAACGAUGACAACUCUGACAGCUUACCUGACGGACAAACGUUUGAAAUCG